This 97-nucleotide transfer RNA is filed under the name Paraburkholderia metrosideri. Its description in RNAcentral is "tRNA-Leu". Lineage: Bacteria; Pseudomonadati; Pseudomonadota; Betaproteobacteria; Burkholderiales; Burkholderiaceae. The record is from RNAcentral.
ACGUGCAGGGUUUCGGUGCGCUGAGCGCGCAGGCCAAGGCUUCGCCGCAAGCCGGCAUGAAGAUGGCUGCUCAGCAGUUCGACGCUGUUUUCACGCA